Austrofundulus limnaeus is the source of this 222-nucleotide non-coding RNA. NCBI's taxonomy places the organism in Eukaryota, Metazoa, Chordata, Actinopteri, Cyprinodontiformes, Rivulidae. The record is from the annotation of a RefSeq genome assembly.
AUGAUGUUUCCAAUAAGUCUGAUGUUGCUGUUAAGUUUUCUGAGUCAGGAGUCGUUUGCCAACAAGUUUCUGACUCAGAGUGAGAGAGUGAAGUCUGUCAGUGUUGGAGGGACUGUGUCCAUCAGCUCCACAGGAAGUUCAGAUAUUGGUUCUGAUCUCAGUUGGUACCUUCAGAAACCUGGACAGCCUCCCAAACUUCUUAUAUACAGAGUUUCAAAUCUG